UUUAUGGAGAGUUUGAUCCUGGCUCAGGAUGAACGCUGGCGGCGUGCCUAAUACAUGCAAGUCGAGCGAACGGACGAGAAGCUUGCUUCUCUGAUGUUAGCGGCGGACGGGUGAGUAACACGUGGAUAACCUACCUAUAAGACUGGGAUAACUUCGGGAAACCGGAGCUAAUACCGGAUAAUAUUUUGAACCGCAUAGUUCAAAAGUGAAAGACGGUUUUGCUGUCACUUAUAGAUGGAUCCGCGCUGCAUUAGCUAGUUGGUAAGGUAACGGCUUACCAAGGCAACUAUGCAUAGCCGACCUGAGAGGGU
Molecule: ribosomal RNA, 311 nt
Filed under: Streptomyces sp. WAC07149
Lineage: Bacteria; Bacillati; Actinomycetota; Actinomycetes; Kitasatosporales; Streptomycetaceae
Description: bacterial SSU rRNA
Rfam family: Bacterial small subunit ribosomal RNA
Source: RNAcentral